Molecule: ribosomal RNA, 507 nt
Filed under: uncultured bacterium
Lineage: Bacteria
Description: bacterial SSU rRNA
Rfam family: Bacterial small subunit ribosomal RNA
Source: RNAcentral
AUUGAACGCUGGCGGAAUGCUUUACACAUGCAAGUCGAACGGCAGCACGGGGGCAACCCUGGUGGCGAGUGGCGAACGGGUGAGUAAUACAUCGGAACGUGCCCAGUCGUGGGGGAUAACGUAGCGAAAGCUACGCUAAUACCGCAUACGAUCUACGGAUGAAAGCGGGGGAUCGCAAGACCUCGCGCGAUUGGAGCGGCCGAUGGCAGAUUAGGUAGUUGGUGGGGUAAAGGCUCACCAAGCCGACGAUCUGUAGCUGGUCUGAGAGGACGACCAGCCACACUGGGACUGAGACACGGCCCAGACUCCUACGGGAGGCAGCAGUGGGGAAUUUUGGACAAUGGGCGCAAGCCUGAUCCAGCCAUUCCGCGUGCAGGAUGAAGGCCUUCGGUUGUAACUAGCUUUUACGGUACGAAACGGACCUUUCUAAUUACAAGAAGGCGUAAUGACGGUACCGUAACGAAUAAGACACCGGCUAACUACGUAGCCAGCAGCCGCGGUAAACCU